RNAcentral lists this ribosomal RNA (497 nucleotides) under uncultured bacterium. RNAcentral describes it as "partial 16S ribosomal RNA". It matches the Rfam family "Bacterial small subunit ribosomal RNA", at positions 28 to 507 of the family's 1533-position model. The record is from RNAcentral.
GAUGAACGCUGGCGGCGUGCCUAAUACAUGCAAGUCGAGCGAACAGACGAGGAGCUUGCUCCUCUGACGUUAGCGGCGGACGGGUGAGUAACACGUGUAUAACCUACCUAUAAGACUGGUAUAACUUCGGGAAACCGGAGCUAAUAGCGGAUAAUAUAUUGAACCGCAUGGUUCAAUAGUGAAAGACGGUUUUGCUGUCACUUAUAGCUGGAUCCGCGCCGCAUUAGCUAGUUGGUCAGCUAACGGCUUACCAAGGCAACGAUGCGUAGCCGAACUGAGAGGGUGAUAGCCCACAUGGGAAGUGAGACACGGUCCAGACUACUAAGGGAGGCAGCAGUAGGGAAUCUUCCGCAAUGGGCGAAAGCAUGACGGAGCAACGCCGCGUGAGUGAUGAAGGUCUUCGGAUCGUAAAACUCUGUUAUUAGGGAAGAACAAAUGUGUAAGUAACUAUGCACGUCUUGACGGUACCUAAUCAGAAAGCCACGGCUAACUACGUG